CAGUAAAUGUUUAUUAAAUAAAUGAAUGGAUGGGAAAGUAACAGUUUGCCAACCUGGCUGUUAACACUUGCUUUGAGGGGAGGGGAUGUGGGGAGAGCGGGGGAGGGAAAGAAGCAGAGUGGUGGAAGCCGAGAAGGGUAAAGCCCUCAUUUAACCCUCUCAGUGACCCAGAGAGGUGGGUGGUGUAACCCCCAGUUCACAGCGCAUGAAACAGGCUCAGCGAUUGCUUUCCGUCUCCUGAGACGGCUGUCAGGUGGAGGAGCAGGACCCCAAUCUGUGUGCGGCUCCGAAGCCUGUCCUGUGGGUCAGUGGCUGUCCACUGGAACCACCUGACGUUCAGACCCCAUCCCGGCCAGACUUCCCAGGGGUUCUAGCGUCCGGCUUGUUGAGAACCACUGCCAUGGGCCCUGCUGUUUCUUCCAUCUGCAGAAAGGCCAGUUGCCGCGCUGUGAAUUCCUGUUGCAUCAGCAGCGAGGCUAAUUAGCUCCGCGGCUCCUGAAUAAUAAUGGCUGCAUUCACAGAGAGGCGUCUGCAUGCAGGAGCCAUGCACACAUGCAAACCUUGAAGCUGCGCAAGAUGCACAGCCAGCGGCACAGGAUCCCCCAGCGUGGCCAUUUAUAUGAGCUGAAGGUGCUGGUGCAUCAGUGGUGGGCGGCGAGGGGUCUGGGCUACCUGCUGGUGCAGCUUGCUGGUUAACUCGAGUCCUGCUCACGCUCAGUCCAGGAUGUAUCCACUUUCUGACUUGGUGGGUCUGACAGAUCCAGCUCAUGAUGGGCAGUUCUGGGUGCAUGACCCCUCGGUGUCUCAUGGCAGGGUGCUCUGUCUCUACCAGUGCCGGGAGCACACCACAGCCUGU
RNAcentral lists this long non-coding RNA (856 nucleotides) under Equus asinus (donkey). RNAcentral's name for it is "lncRNA (ENSEASG00005023974.1)". Lineage: Eukaryota; Metazoa; Chordata; Mammalia; Perissodactyla; Equidae. The record is from RNAcentral.